This 76-nucleotide transfer RNA is filed under the name Planctomycetota bacterium. Its description in RNAcentral is "Planctomycetes bacterium tRNA-Leu". It matches the Rfam family "tRNA". From Rfam's summary of the family: Transfer RNA (tRNA) molecules are approximately 80 nucleotides in length. Lineage: Bacteria; Pseudomonadati; Planctomycetota. The record is from RNAcentral.
GGCACGGUACGCAAACGGGCAAAGCGGCGGAGCUUAAACCUUCGCGACUUUGUGGGUUCGAUUCCCACCCGUGCUA